GCAGUCGAACGGUGAUAGCAAUAUCAUAGUGGCGCACGGGUGCGUAACACGUAUGCAACCUACCUAUUAUUGGGGGAUAGCCUUUGGAAACGGAGAUUAAUACCGCAUAAUACGAUUGACUGGCAUCGGUUGAUUGUUAAAGCUUUGGCGAUAAUAGAUGGGCAUGCGUCCAAUUAGUUAGUUGGUUAGGUAACGGCUGACCAAGACGAUGAUUGGUAGGGGAUCUGAGAGGAUAAUCCCCCACACUGGCACUGAGAUACGGGCCAGACUCCUACGGGAGGCAGCAGUAGGGAAUAUUGGGCAAUGGGCGGAAGCCUGACCCAGCCAUGCCGCGUGCAGGAAGAAGGCGUUAUGCGUUGUAAACUGCUUUUUUAUAGGAAGAAGGAUCCCUUGCGAGGGAAGGUGACGGUACUAUAAGAAUAAGCACCGGCUAACUCCGUGCCAGCAGCCGCGGUAAUACGGAGGGUGCAAGCGUUGUCCGGAUUUAUUGGGUUUAAAGGGUGCGUAGGCGGUUUAUUAAGUCAGUGGUGAAAGACGGUCGCUCAACGAUUGCAGUGCCAUUGAUACUGGUAGACUUGAGUGAGAUUGAGGUAGCUGGAAUGGAUAGUGUAGCGGUGAAAUGCAUAGAUAUUAUCCAGAACACCGAUUGCGAAGGCAGGUUACUAAGUCUUAACUGACGCUGAG
RNAcentral lists this ribosomal RNA (684 nucleotides) under uncultured bacterium. RNAcentral's name for it is "bacterial SSU rRNA". It matches the Rfam family "Bacterial small subunit ribosomal RNA", at positions 57 to 750 of the family's 1533-position model. The record is from RNAcentral.